UGCCCCUGGAUCACAAACAAGGUACCUUAU
This 30-nucleotide unclassified non-coding RNA is filed under the name Mus musculus (house mouse). Its description in RNAcentral is "piRNA piR-mmu-68240665". Lineage: Eukaryota; Metazoa; Chordata; Mammalia; Rodentia; Muridae. The record is from RNAcentral.